This 625-nucleotide ribosomal RNA is filed under the name Promethearchaeota archaeon. RNAcentral describes it as "bacterial SSU rRNA". It matches the Rfam family "Archaeal small subunit ribosomal RNA", at positions 1 to 609 of the family's 1478-position model. Lineage: Archaea; Promethearchaeati; Promethearchaeota. The record is from RNAcentral.
UAAUUCCGGUUGAUCCUGCCGGACCCGACUGCUAUUUGGGUGAGGAUAAGCCAUGCGAGUUGUAUGGGAUACCUAAAUUUCCCAUGGCAAACUGCUCAGUAACACAUGAUCAACUUGCCCUAUAGAGAAAAAUAACCUCGGGAAACUGAGGAUAAUGUUUCAUAGUUGAAAAGGCUUGGAAAAGUUUUUCAAUAAAAGGGAUAAGGAAAAUGGUCCUUAUCUGCUAUAGGAUAGGAUCGUGUUCGAUUAUGGUUGUUGGUGAGGUAAUGGCUCACCAAGCCGAUAAUCGAUAGGGGCCGUGAGAGCGGAAGCCCCGAGAUGGGUACUGAGACAGCGACCCAGGCCUUACGAGGCGCAGCAGGCGCGAAACCUCCACAAUACACGAAAGUGUGAUGGGGUUACCCAAAGUGUUCUAUUAAGAACUGUGGUAGGUGAGUAAUGUUCCCUACUAGAAAGGAGAGGGCAAGGCUGGUGCCAGCCGCCGCGGUAAAACCAGCUCUUCAAGUGGUCGGGAUAAUUAUUGGGCUUAAAGUGUCCGUAGCCGGUUUAGUAAGUUCCUGGUAAAAUCGGGUAGCUUAACUAUCUGCAUGCUAGGAAUACUGCUAUACUAGAGGGCGGGAGAGGU